Molecule: ribosomal RNA, 253 nt
Filed under: uncultured bacterium
Lineage: Bacteria
Description: partial 16S ribosomal RNA
Rfam family: Bacterial small subunit ribosomal RNA
Source: RNAcentral
UACGUAGGGCGCAAGCGUUAUCCGGAAUUAUUGGGCGUAAAGAGCUCGUAGGCGGUUUGUCGCGUCUGCCGUGAAAGUCCGGGGCUCAACUCCGGAUCUGCGGUGGGUACGGGCAGACUAGAGUGAUGUAGGGGAGACUGGAAUUCCUGGUGUAGCGGUGAAAUGCGCAGAUAUCGGGAGGAACACCAGUGGCGAAGGCGGUUACCUGGAGCUUUGCUGACGCUGAUGCGCGAAAGCGUGGGGAGCGAUCCGG